CUAAUCUACCGCUAUUUCAGCCAGCAACUGCAACUCGGCAGUUACCGGCCUGUUUCUCUAGCAGCAGCCUGGCCACUCAGGCUGCAGCCUGGCGCGAAUUCUGUUCCCGCAGGCACUGGCCCUGUCACUGCCACUAAAGCUUGUUAGCCCUGGACACCACUCCCCCUGGCCUCGCCUUUUCCUCGGUGGCAGCCACAGGACUCAGCAGGACUUCCCUAAGAACGAAGGACACUGUGCCCUCAAGGGAAGAGGGGGUCUCCUGGGCUCCGGAGUGAGAGAUUAUGGUGUUCACCCAGUUAUCAAGUCAGACAGGCGGCUCCAGGACAGAGGAAGGAAGCGGGCACUGGAGCUGCUCAGAAAGGAGCAGGCCAUCCCCAGGGCAGAGGAAAAGGUAAGAGGUCUAUCAUGGCUCACAGCUAAAGUCAAGAUCUGCAUCUGCAUCUGGUAAUGGCCUCCUGAGGCAGCCAAGGCCUGCAUGGAAAGACGGAGUGUGUGUGGUUCAUGUGUGCACUUGGUGUGAAUCUGGAUGAGCAUCCUUGAAUUUGUUUAUGUAUGGAAGAAAACAGCAAAUAAAAGGUGUUCCAGGUCCAAAA
Peromyscus maniculatus bairdii (prairie deer mouse) is the source of this 593-nucleotide non-coding RNA. The record is from RefSeq and is a predicted model, not a curated record. NCBI's taxonomy places the organism in Eukaryota, Metazoa, Chordata, Mammalia, Rodentia, Cricetidae.